This 498-nucleotide ribosomal RNA is filed under the name uncultured bacterium. RNAcentral describes it as "partial 16S ribosomal RNA". It matches the Rfam family "Bacterial small subunit ribosomal RNA", at positions 28 to 507 of the family's 1533-position model. The record is from RNAcentral.
GACGAACGCUGGCGGCGUGCCUAAUACAUGCAAGUCGAACGAGAGCGCCCGGUGCUUGCGCUGGUCAAUCUAGUGGCGAACGGGUGAGUCACGCGUGGGUACCCUGCUUGUCAGUGGGGGAUCAUAUCCGGACACGGGUGCUAACACCGUAUAGGCUCCCGCAGCGCAUGGUUUGAAGGGGAAAAGAGGCGCAAGCUUCUGCUGAUGGAUGGUACCGGGGUGCAUUAGCUAGUUGGUGAGGUAACGGCUCACCCAGGCCGUGAUGCAUAGCCGACCUGAGGGGGUGAUCGGCCACAUGGGGACUGAGACACGGCCCAAACGCCUGCGGGAGGCAGCAGUAGGGAAUCUUCCGCAAUGGACGCAAGUCUGACGGAGCAACGCCGCGUGAGUGAAGAAGGUUUUCGGAUCGGAAAACUCUGUUGUUAGAGAAGAACAAGUGCUAGAGUAACUGUUAGCGCCGUGACGGUAUCUAACCAGAAAGCCACGGCUAACUACGUG